Molecule: ribosomal RNA, 481 nt
Filed under: uncultured bacterium
Lineage: Bacteria
Description: partial 16S ribosomal RNA
Rfam family: Bacterial small subunit ribosomal RNA
Source: RNAcentral
GAUGAACGCUGGCGGCGUGCUUAACACAUGCAAGUCGAACGAAGCACUUUAUUUGAUUUCCUUCGGGACUGAUUAUUUUGUGACUGAGUGGCGGACGGGUGAGUAACGCGUGGGUAACCUGCCUUGUACAGGGGGAUAACAGUUGGAAACGGCUGCUAAUACCGCAUAAGCGCACAGCAUCGCAUGAUGCAGUGUGAAAAACUCCGGUGGUAUAAGAUGUACCCGCGUUGGAUUAGCUAGUUGGUGAGGUAACGGCCCACCAAGGCGACGAUCCAUAGCCGAGCUGAGAGGCUGAGCGGAAACAUUGGGACUGAGAAACAGCACAAACUCCUACGGGAGGCAGCAGUGGGGAAUAGUGCAAAAUGGGCGAAAGGCUGAAGCAGCGACGACGCGUGAGCGAAGAAGUAUGUCGGGAUGGAAAGCUAGAUCAGCAGGGAAGAUAAUGACGGUACCUGACGAAGAAGCACCGGCUAAAUACGUG